UGGGGGAUAUUGCACAAUGGGCGAAAGCCUGAUGCAGCGACGCCGCGUGGGGGAUGAAGGCUUUCGGGUUGUAAACCUCUUCCGCUAUCGAACAAGGCCCGCUUAGGGUGGGUUGAGGGUAGGUGGAGAAGAAGCGCCGGCUAACUACGUGCCAGCAGCCGCGGUAAUACGUAGGGCGCGAGCGUUGUCCGGAAUUAUUGGGCGUAAAGGGCUUGUAGGCGGCUUGUUGCGCCUGCUGUGAAAACGCGGGGCUUAACUUCGCGCGUGCAGUGGGUACGGGCAGGCUUGAGUGUGGUAGGGGUGACUGGAAUUCCAGGUGUAGCGGUGGAAUGCGCAGAUAUCUGGAGGAACACCGAUGGCGAAGGCAGGUCACUGGGCCAUUACUGACGCUGAGGAGCGAAAGCAUGGGUAGCGAACAGG
This 420-nucleotide ribosomal RNA is filed under the name bacterium. RNAcentral's name for it is "partial 16S ribosomal RNA". It matches the Rfam family "Bacterial small subunit ribosomal RNA", at positions 355 to 776 of the family's 1533-position model. The record is from RNAcentral.